UAACUCCUACGGGGCGCAGCAGUGGGGAAUAUUGCACAAUGGGGGAAACCCUGAUGCAGCGACGCCGCGUGAGUGAAGAAGUAUUUCGGUAUGUAAAGCUCUAUCAGCAGGAACGAGACAAGACGGUACCUGACUAAGAAGUCCCGGCUAACUACGUGCUAGCAGCCGCGGUAAUACGUAGGGAGCAAGCGUUGUGCGGAAUUACUGGGCGUAAAGGGCGCGUAGGUGGGCGCUUA
Molecule: ribosomal RNA, 236 nt
Filed under: uncultured bacterium
Lineage: Bacteria
Description: partial 16S ribosomal RNA
Rfam family: Bacterial small subunit ribosomal RNA
Source: RNAcentral